This 442-nucleotide ribosomal RNA is filed under the name uncultured bacterium. Its description in RNAcentral is "partial 16S ribosomal RNA". It matches the Rfam family "Bacterial small subunit ribosomal RNA", at positions 338 to 795 of the family's 1533-position model. The record is from RNAcentral.
CCUACGGGAGGCAGCAGUGGGGAAUAUUGGGCAAUGGGCGCAAGCCUGACCCAGCAACGCCGCGUGAAGGAAGAAGGCUUUCGGGUUGUAAACUUCUUUUGAUAGGGAAGAGUAGAAGACGGUACCUGUCGAAUAAGCCAUGGCUAACUACGUGCCAGCAGCCGCGGUCAUACGGAGGUGGCAAGCGUUGUCCGGAUUUACUGGGUGUACAGGGCGUGUAGCCGGGUUGACAAGUCAGUUGUGAAAUCCUGCGGCUUAACCGAAGAACUGCAUUUGAAACUGGUGAUCUUGAGUACUGGAGAGGCAGGCGGAAUUCGUGGUGUAGCGGUGAAAUGCGUAGAUAUUAGGAGGAACACCAGUGGCGAAGGCGGUCUGCUGGACAGCAACUGACAGUGAGGCGCGAAAGCGUGGGGAGCAAACAGGAUUAGAUACCCCUGUAGUC